This 301-nucleotide ribosomal RNA is filed under the name uncultured bacterium. RNAcentral describes it as "partial 16S ribosomal RNA". It matches the Rfam family "Bacterial small subunit ribosomal RNA", at positions 509 to 807 of the family's 1533-position model. The record is from RNAcentral.
CAGUAGCCGCGGGAAUACGUAGGUGGCAAGCGUUGUCCGGAAUUAUUGGGCGUAAAGGGUCCGUAGGCGGUUUAGUAAGUCAGUGGUGAAAGCCCAUCGCUCAACGGUGGAACGGCCAUUGAUACUGCUGAACUUGAAUUAUUAGGAAGUAACUAGAAUAUGUAGUGUAGCGGUGAAAUGCUUAGAGAUUACAUGGAAUACCAAUUGCGAAGGCAGGUUACUACUAAUUGAUUGACGCUGAUGGACGAAAGCGUGGGGAGCGAACAGGAUUAGAUACCCGCGUAGUCCCUGUCUCUUAUAC